GAUCCGGUGGCCUAGUGGUUAGAGCGUCAGCCCCAGAAGCGUGCGGUCGUGGGUUCUAUCCCCGGAUGAGUCA
This is a non-coding RNA of Potamilus streckersoni, 73 nucleotides long. The record is from the annotation of a GenBank genome assembly. Lineage: Eukaryota; Metazoa; Mollusca; Bivalvia; Unionida; Unionidae.